UACUAUUUAACCUGGUGACUAAGUCGAUUGGAAACAAUGAAACAAAUUAUUACAGGAAUCCAGACGACAUCCCUCCCUCCCCCUUUCCUGCUUCCUCACCCGCUGUAGCAAGCAGGUGUGGAGUCGAGUCGGAGGCAGGCGCUGGCUGCGUGGACCCCCGGGUGGGAUUCCACCCGCGACAAGGCACCCAGGCCCUUUGGGCGGGGCUCCCCUGGGGUCCGCGUCCCCGCCGCCUCCCCCGGGCCUCUGCUGGGCUGGCUGGAGGCAGGAGGCCCCGGUUAGCAGGUGGUGGGGAACUGGGUCCCGGGGUUGGAGGCAGGAAGGUCCCCACGGGCCCCGCGCACCGUUUGCCGCGCACGGGAAGCGGCGAGGCCGGCGGGGCAGCGGCUUCUGGGCAUUGUUCUCGGACCGCGCGGCGCUCGGUUGGCAUCAAAGGGGACCGCGCAACCCGACACCACGGCGGGCGCGGGGACAGAGGCCUGAGGGCGGCGGGGACAGAGGCGCACAAGGCCCGGCCCGCGGCGAGGAGCCUCAACAGGUUGGAAACGCGGAGACGACGCCCCGCGCUCCGCCGCCUUCCGCCCGCGGGCCAGCAUCCUGAGCCCCACCUGCAGGCCCUGGGCGCUUUCCUCCUGGCAGCUGUGCCCCCACCCGACCGGACCGCUCCCUGCAACCAGAGAGCCCUCACACCAGCAACACCCCCCAGCCUGCUCCCUCCUCGUGUGCGCGAAACUCAUGGCACUGGCUUGACGGCUUUCUCUGAAACCCUCUGAUUCCGCCUGGCCCAUCCACACUGUCCCUUCCCGGCCAGGGCUCAUCUCCUAUGCCUGGACCAAACAGCGUAGUCUCCAGUCUCCCUGAUCUCCCCACACGUGGCCCCACCCAUCCUCUGAAGCAGCCCCAGGAGGCAGCAGUGACUUCACACUUCUAGUGCCCGGCCCUCCCGGCCCUCCUCUCUGGGCUUGCUUGCCAGGGUCCUCCCAACCUGACUGCUGCCUCCCACCUCCUCUCCGCCCCUGGAGCUCUCCAGCCGCAGCCGCGGGGCCUGCUUGGGAUUCUCCUCUGCUGGCAUCAUCCCUGCCUGCCUCAGCCUUCCCAGGCCCAAUCCUGCCCGAUCUCACCUCUUCCCGCCCAGCCACCUGGUCGGGUCCCGACCAGCAUCUGCCUUCAAACCUGGAGUCCUUCCCUGAGUGCUUGCGGUGCACUGUGAGGAAGGAAAUCAAUGUAAAGGAUUAUGACCCACAUUUUUUAAAAAUAAAAAGAUUAAGGAGAACAGC
Molecule: long non-coding RNA, 1277 nt
Filed under: Homo sapiens (human)
Lineage: Eukaryota; Metazoa; Chordata; Mammalia; Primates; Hominidae
Description: HSALNT0404652
Source: RNAcentral